GUAUGGGUUCCCGAGCGGCCAAAGGGAGCAGACUGUAAAUCUGCCGUCAUCGACUUCGAAGGUUCGAAUCCUUCCCCCACCACCA
This 85-nucleotide transfer RNA is filed under the name Salmonella enterica subsp. enterica serovar Senftenberg str. 423984-1. RNAcentral's name for it is "tRNA-Tyr". It matches the Rfam family "tRNA". From Rfam's summary of the family: Transfer RNA (tRNA) molecules are approximately 80 nucleotides in length. Lineage: Bacteria; Pseudomonadati; Pseudomonadota; Gammaproteobacteria; Enterobacterales; Enterobacteriaceae. The record is from RNAcentral.